RNAcentral lists this ribosomal RNA (595 nucleotides) under uncultured bacterium. Its description in RNAcentral is "bacterial SSU rRNA". It matches the Rfam family "Bacterial small subunit ribosomal RNA", at positions 9 to 617 of the family's 1533-position model. The record is from RNAcentral.
GAGUUUGAUCCUGGCUCAGGACGAACGCUGGCGGCGUGCUUAACACAUGCAAGUCGAACGGAACUCAAGGAGCUUGCUCCUGAAGGUUCAGUGGCGAACGGGUGCGUAACACGUGAGAAACCUGUCCCGAACUUGGGAAUAACAGCCGGAAACGGCUGCUAAUACCGAAUAUCUUCGUAACGUCGCAUGGCGUAUCGAAGAAAGCUUUAUGCGGUUUGGGAGGGUCUCGCGGCCUAUCAGCUAGUUGGUGAGGUAAUGGCUCACCAAGGCAUCGACGGGUAGCUGGUCUGAGAGGAUGAUCAGCCACACUGGGACUGAGACACGGCCCAGACUCCUACGGGAGGCAGCAGUGGGGAAUAUUGCACAAUGGGCGAAAGCCUGAUGCAGCAACGCCGCGUGCGGGAAGAAGGCCCUAGGGUUGUAAACCGCUUUCAGUAGGGAAGAAAAUGACGGUACCUACAGAAGAAGGUGCGGCCAACUACGUGCCAGCAGCCGCGGUGACACGUAGGCACCAAGCGUUGUCCGGAUUUAUUGGGCGUAAAGAGCUCGUAGGCGGUUUGGUAAGUCGGGUGUGAAAACUCUGGGCUCAACCCAG